Long non-coding RNA from Dunckerocampus dactyliophorus (ringed pipefish), 167 nucleotides. RefSeq lists it as uncharacterized. NCBI's taxonomy places the organism in Eukaryota, Metazoa, Chordata, Actinopteri, Syngnathiformes, Syngnathidae. The record is from RefSeq and is a predicted model, not a curated record. The transcript is spliced from 3 exons.
CGACUACAAGACAUCGGACAUUGACAUGGGCUGUUGCAUGUACGAGAGCUGCAUCUUCACCAAUUGAAGUGAUCGAUCUGACUUCACCGCCACCAGUGGCCCUAGUGUCACCGGUCCAAAACCCAAUGCAGGGAUUUAAUGUGGACUUUAUAACGCCUCAAAACCAG